UUUUAUGGAGAGUUUGAUCCUGGCUCAGGAUGAACGCUGGCGGCGUGCCUAAUACAUGCAAGUCGAGCGAACGGAUGAGAAGCUUGCUUCUCUGAUGUUAGCGGCGGACGGGUGAGUAACACGUGGAUAACCUACCUAUAAGACUGGGAUAACUUCGGGAAACCGGAGCUAAUACCGGAUAAUAUUUUGAACCGCAUGGUUCAAAAGUGAAAGACGGUCUUGCUGUCACUUAUAGAUGGAUCCGCGCUGCAUUAGCUAGUUGGUAAGGUAACGGCUUACCAAGGCAACGAUGCAUAGCCGACCUGAGAGGG
RNAcentral lists this ribosomal RNA (311 nucleotides) under Staphylococcus aureus. RNAcentral describes it as "bacterial SSU rRNA". It matches the Rfam family "Bacterial small subunit ribosomal RNA", at positions 1 to 300 of the family's 1533-position model. Lineage: Bacteria; Bacillati; Bacillota; Bacilli; Caryophanales; Staphylococcaceae. The record is from RNAcentral.